GGGCAUGGUUCAAUGGUAGAACAGCGGUCUCCAAAACCGUUGAUGAGGGUUCGAUUCCUUCUGCCC
This 66-nucleotide transfer RNA is filed under the name bovine gut metagenome. It matches the Rfam family "tRNA". Rfam says of the family: Transfer RNA (tRNA) molecules are approximately 80 nucleotides in length. Their secondary structure includes four short double-helical elements and three loops (D, anti-codon, and T loops). Further hydrogen bonds mediate the characteristic L-shaped molecular structure. tRNAs have two regions of fundamental functional importance: the anti-codon, which is responsible for specific mRNA codon recognition, and the 3' end, to which the tRNAs corresponding amino acid is attached (by aminoacyl-tRNA synthetases). tRNAs cope with the degeneracy of the genetic code in two manners: having more than one tRNA (with a specific anti-codon) for a particular amino acid; and 'wobble' base-pairing, i.e. permitting non-standard base-pairing at the 3rd anti-codon position. The record is from RNAcentral.